ACGAACUCAAGAAAUCCAUCAAAGAACAGCUCCUUCCUUCCUCUUGAUCCCUUCCCCUCCUCUCUCAAUCCACGGCGAUGGCAAACUCAUUCCUCGAACGUCGGUGCUGCUUCGUCUACUGCUCUUGUUGAUGUCUUGCUGUGUUGAGGAUACAAGUAUAAAAUACAAUCAGAAGACAUAAGUGGCACGACCUUGUUACUGAAAAUAGAAAACCCAACAUUUGAGAUUGAUAUUUUUUAAAGCUAAUGCAUGUUUGUAUUG
Non-coding RNA from Punica granatum (pomegranate), 261 nucleotides. The record is from RefSeq and is a predicted model, not a curated record. Lineage: Eukaryota; Viridiplantae; Streptophyta; Magnoliopsida; Myrtales; Lythraceae.